AGAAUCAUUAAGUUCUAUGAAAAUCAUAAGCAUUGACGAGACACUUGUAACUAUGAAUUGCAUGAAACUUAUGCCAAGAAUUUACUUAACACGGUUGUGACGAACAACCUUUACUACUUGUGAAUAUAAGUUCAUAACGAUUAGGUGAAACUCCCUUAUAUCCUAGCAUCAUAUUUAUGCAUGGAAAUUAAGCGUGCACUCUCAACCAACAUACACAAAUAAGUUUUAAUUCAAAUGGAUAAGUAAAUUGAAUUCACAACUUAUAAAUCACAAUUGAAAGUUAUCAAAUCAUAUUGCAAGCAUGAAUAUGGUUUCGAAUUCCCCCUAGCUAAGGGCGGUUUAGUUUCUCAUACUUACAAAGCAAAGAUAAACAAAUUUAGACAUUGAAAACAAAAGAAAGAAAACACCUAAACGCUCCAACGAUCCAAGUUGGACAGCAAGCACAUCCAAGCACUUUCCUUCCCUUCCUUUGCUACGGCACAAGGUGUUGGUGAGUGUUUGAAGGUUUGUUUGUAUGGAGGAAUGGAUGUGAGGAUGAAUGGAAGUGUUUGGAUGAAGGUUGUAUCGAAAUGGGGAUGAAUUCUCUAGCAAAAAUUGAAUGUCAUGGUUGCCAUACACACUUCCUUUUAUAGAGGAAGUGCACGGCAUGGAGGAGGAUGCAUGGUUGUGAGCAAUGAUUUCAAAGGUGAAAGUGAAGUGAUGCAACAGCAAGGGGGGUGAAAAUGGAGUGGUGUUGAAGCUAUGAAUGCAAGUGGGGAACAUGAAUGACACAUGGCAAAAAUAAAUGGAAAAAAAGAAAUGCCAUUGCCAAUGUUGUGCUCAAUGUAUGUAUUGUUCACCAACAGCACAUGAACAAGUUAAUGAUGAAUGCAAUGCAUUGCCAGCCCAUGCCAUGCCCAUGUAUGUUGUAGUCAACUUUCAAACAACUUUACAUGUCAACAUACUUUUGUCAACAGUCAUGCCUUGCAUCUUCUUAGCUGUGCAUUUCCACUUGCUCCAAAGCCAAAUUAAAUGUGAGUGUUCAAAACAAAUGCCUUUACUGCCAAAUCAAAUGCCUUUUAGUGUUAGAUUUGCUCCAAAUUCUCUUAGACAAGUAUUGCUCAGCAUCAAUUCUUCAUUCUCAUUCAUGAGCUGUUCGUCAUGCACAGUUUUGACGAAUUUGUUACUUAAUAACUCAUUUGUGCUACUUUUCAUUUCUUUGCUUGAUAAAUCACACAAAGCACAAAAACAUAGUAAAUAGCUCAAAAAUAUAAGGAACUAACUAAGAAAAGACAAGUGAAUUUUAUGUAAAAUAUAUAUAAAUAUGAGCUUAUCAAAUACCCCCACACUUAGCUUUUGCUAGUCCUCGAGCAAAAUAAAGAAAACAAAACACAACCUAAACCUUCCAACGUUUGCCUCAGAGAUUUCCAACGCACAUGACAAGUUAAAAAUCAUCAUUCCCACAGAUUUUAGUCAACUUAAAACUUGAGCACAUACUUAAUUACAGUCACCACUUACUAGUUCACAUUUAACCAAUUAAAACGAUGUUUUGAAUGUAGUAACAUGCCUUAGGGAAUUUGCUCAAUUCCUUACAAGAUAUGCACUCAAUUUUCACUCAGAUUUUCUGACUACACACCCUACACUAGGUACAUGUGAGAAGAUUGAUGUAAACAUGAAAACUAGUACUCACAUAUAUGUAUAACAAGAAAGCAUUUUCUGGUAUUAAUAAGCAUGUUUAGAUAUGAUCUCAUGAAUGGAAUGCUACUACUUAGAUGCGAGAACCAGUGACACCAUAUGCUCAUUGAUGCGAUGAAAGUUAAGCACUCAAAUUAAACCCUCUGUUGUCAAAUUGUAGUAUAAAUGGAAGUAGAAAUCGUUCUAAACCGGGGAUUAGGAGGGCUUGCUAAAAUCUCUAAACUAACUCAAAAACAUAAAAACAAAGUAAAAACGUUUGAAUAGACUCACAAGACUCAAAACAAAGCCACAAGACUCAAAACAGAUUAUAGAGACUCAAAACUGCCUAAAAACAACUCCAAGGCAGUUUCUGCCACUAACACUAAGUUUGGAGGAAAAUUGAUUUUAUCUUGACUUAAAACACUUAAAAACACAAUCUAAAACAAGUACUAACUAAUAUGACUUUAAUAAAAUAAGGGGAUUUUGGUUUUGGACGAAAAUAAGGAAAACAAAGCAAGAAUAAUUUAAACAGAUUCUAAGACAAAUUUAGGUGAAUUGAUGGGUGAUGGGUUAAACCAUGGAUGAUGGGCUAGCUAGAGGGUUCUUCUCCACACAUGACACAUUUGCAUAUAAAAUGAUUUCCAGUUGCUUUUCAAUAAACCAUGAACCUCAACACCCCAGAUUAAUUAGGUAUGCUUAAAUUAAUUCUCAGAUUUUCCUAAUUUCAUUGAAUUGGAUGAUUGCAUACAACAACCCAAAGCAUUCCCCACAAGUUCCCUACAUGAAUUGCAUAAUAGAGAUACAAGCAAGAAUCAUUAAGUUCUAUGAAAAUCAUAAGCAUUGAUGAAACACCUGUAACUAUGAAUUGCAUGAAACUUAUGCCAAGAAUUUACUUAACACGGUUGUGACGAACAACCUUUACUACUUGUGAAUAUAAGUUCAUAACGAUUAGGUGAAACUCCCUUUUAUCCUAGCAUCAUAUUUAUGCAUGGAAAUUAAGCGUGCACUCUCAACCAACAUACACAAAUCAGUUUUAAUUCAAAUGGAUAAGUAAAUUGUCACAACUUAUGAAUCACAACUGAAAGUAAUCAAAUGAUAUUGCAAGCAUGAACAUGGUUUCGAAUUCCCCCUAGCUAAGGGGGGUUUAGUUUCUCAUACUUACAAAGCAAAGAUAAACAAAUUUAGACAUUGAAAACAAAAGAAAGAAAACACCUAAACGCUCAAACGAUCCAAGUUGGACAGCAAGCACAUCCAAGCACUUUCCUUCCCUUCCUUUGCUACGGCACAAGGUGUUGGUGAGUGUUUGAAGGUUUGUUUGUAUGGAGGAAUGGGUGUGAGGAUGAAUGGAAGUGUUUGGAUGAAGGUUGUAUCGAAAUGGGGAUGAAUUCUCUAGCAAAAAUUGAAUGUAAUGGCAGCCACACACACUUCCUUUUAUAGAGGAAGUGCAUGGCAUGGAGGGAUGGAUGGUUGUGUGAGCAAUGAUUCAAAGGUGAAAGUGAAGUAAUGAUGCAAAGCAUGGAGGGUAAAAUGAAGUGGUGUUGCAGCUAUGAAUGCAAGUGGGGAACAUGAAUGAUUGUGCACAUGGUAGAUAAAGGAAAGGGAGGUGGAAUGGUUAAAUGUAAUGGUGCAUGAAAACAGAAAUAAUGAAGGGGACAAGGAUGAGUGUUGUGGUAAUGAGUGAAUGUAGUGGUGUAUUUUCUGCCCAUGCCGUGCCUUUCCUUUGCCCACAUUUGUGUGUUUCCUUUGCCCAUGUGUGUGUGUUUUUCCUUUGCAUUUGCACACACAUGUUCUUCAUUAUUUCAGCCAACAAUCCACCCAUUUUCUGCCCAUGCCAAACUGUCCAUGCCAUGCCUUUCUCUUUGUGUGUGUGUUAUCCAUGUUUCUUCCAUGUGCCUUGUUCAUCUUCUAGCUGUGCAUUUCCACUUGCUCCAAAUCCAAAUGAGUGCAAUCAUAACCCCAUUUGCUGCUGAGUGUUGAUGACAAAGAAAAACACAAAACAAGUGCCUUUACUUUCUCAUUUUAUUAGUCAAAUCUGCUUAGCCCUUUCUGAACCUUUAAGUGUUACAAUGACCAUAACUUUUUCUAGAAAAAUGAUAUUAACAAUCCGUAAAUUUCUCCAGAAAAUAGACAUCCGUAGAUUUCCACACAUAUAAGGCUCAUUCUCUCAUUCAUUCUGAGCUGUUCGUAACAUGCUUCCAAAGUCAGCUAAUCUGCACAGGCAGUUUUGACGAAUUUGUUACUUAAUAACUCACUU
Molecule: long non-coding RNA, 3907 nt
Filed under: Malus domestica (apple)
Lineage: Eukaryota; Viridiplantae; Streptophyta; Magnoliopsida; Rosales; Rosaceae
Description: long non-coding RNA (MDOM_LNC004831)
Source: RNAcentral